Molecule: non-coding RNA, 303 nt
Filed under: Tersicoccus phoenicis
Lineage: Bacteria; Bacillati; Actinomycetota; Actinomycetes; Micrococcales; Micrococcaceae
Description: Arthrobacter sp. 1P05MA Bacterial large subunit ribosomal RNA
Rfam family: Bacterial large subunit ribosomal RNA
Source: Rfam by way of RNAcentral
AACGCGGAUGGGGCUAAACCGGUUGCGUGUGAUACCCGGCAGGGGUUGCGUUUCCGGGGUUGUGGGACCGUUCGUCCAGGGUCUGCCGGCUCUGGCGCGUGAGGUGCGGGCGUAUAGGUGAACAGGUUUGAAUGCCUGACCGUAGAGGGUGCGAGUCCCGUAACCGUAAUGCGUUCCGCCGCGUGGUGGUGUGUUCCCGAGUAGCACGGGGCCCGAGAAAUCCCGUGUGAAUCUGCCAGGACCACCUGGUAAGCCUGAAUACUCCCUGAUGACCGAUAGCGGACCAGUACCGUGAGGGAAAGG